GGUUGAGAUGAUGACGAUGAUAUAUAUGUAUGUGUUAGUGUCUCUGCAAGACACCAAAUAAGAGAAAAUAAAAGAAAAAAUAUUCACAAUUUGGCAUUUAAAAGCAGCAAAAUGUCCAUAGCUUAGAUUUUCUCUUAUUUUUUUGCUUUUCUUCUUCUCUCAUCAAACUUUCUUCUGAUUUCAACAAACUUUUAUGGCCUUUUCAGAUUAGGUUUCAAUGUGGGUUUGUUGUUAGAUUACUGGGUUUUUCGAGGAGAUAUUAUAUCUGAGAAGUUAAAUAACUGCAACCGAAGAAGGUGAGGUUUUUGUUUGAAGAUGGCGGCUGAACCUUCUUCUUCCUCAGGUCAUUUCUUUGGAAUUACAGAAGAAAAUCAGAACCAGAUGAAAAUACUUCAUUCUUCAACACCGACUUCAUCGACUAGACCGCCGGUUGAUCCAUCCCCGCUGCCUCAAAAGAAAAAGAGAAACCAACCUGGAACUCCAAAUCCAGAUGCGGAGGUGGUAGCACUAUCUCCCAAGACUUUAAUGGCGACAAACAGGUUCAUCUGUGAGGUGUGCAACAAAGGGUUCCAAAGGGAACAAAAUUUACAGCUUCACAGAAGGGGACACAAUUUGCCAUGGAAGCUAAAGCAGAAGACAACGAAAGAAGUGAAGAAGAAGGUUUAUGUGUGCCCCGAGCCCACAUGCGUCCACCACGACCCCUCGAGGCCACUCGGCGACCUCACGGGCAUCAAAAAGCAUUACUCGAGAAAACACGGCGAGAAGAAAUGGAAGUGCGACAAGUGUUCGAAGCGGUACGCCGUGCAAUCCGAUUGGAAAGCUCAUUCAAAGACCUGUGGCACCAAAGAGUACAGAUGUGACUGUGGCACUCUCUUCUCAAGACGUGACAGCUUUAUCACUCACAGGGCAUUUUGUGAAGCAUUGGCUCAAGAAACUGCAAGGCAGCCUCCUUUAAACUCCAUUGGCAGCUAUUUAUAUGGAAGUAGCAAUUAUAUGAGCCUAGGGUUAUCUCAAGUUGGAACCCAAAUUUCAUCGAUUCUAGACCACAAUAAUAAUCAAAGCGCUGAGAUUUUGAAACUUGGUGGUGGUUCGAGGAGUUCGCAAUUCGAUCAUCUUCUUCAGCCGUCGAUGGGUUCUCCAUCGUUCUCGUUUAGACCUCAAGAACAGCAACAGUCGAUGGUUACUUCACCAGGUUUCGUCAUGCAAGAAUCGAAUAAGAUUUUCAACAAAGAGCAUCAACCCCAACAUGGGUUGUUGGGAAACAACAAAUCAUUCCAAGGAUUAAUGCAGUUUCCUGAAACCAAUAACAACAACACAAGUAACACUCCAUCGGCGGCCGGUUUCUUCAACCUCAGCUUCCAGUCGAACAGCGGCAGCAACAAUGGUGGUGCAGAUUAUUAUUUAGCGUAUUCGGGUUUGCUGAUGUCGGAUAAUUUCAACAACGACAAUGGCAGCAACGGUGGUGGUGGCGUAAACAAAGCAUCGAAUCUCUUCUCGAACAACUUGAUGAGUGAUCAAAUCACUUCCAACAACAUUCCUUCUUUGUUUAGUUCAUCGGUUCAAAACAAUAACAUGGUGCCUCAAAUGUCCGCCACCGCAUUGCUUCAGAAAGCUGAUCAAAUGGGCUCCAAUUCGAGCAACAAUAACAACGACGACGAAGAUUCUCUUCUAAGAAGCUUCGGAACAUCGUCUUCAGCCGGAACCAAAACCUCAAACUUGGGAAGGAUUUUCGGGGUAACUACCGCCAGCAACAAUCUACAUGAACUAAUGAACUCCAUAGCCAGUGGUAAUUCCCCCAUUUUCGGAAGCUCCGGUGUAGUCAAUACAUUUAACACUUAUGCAAACAGAACUAGCUUGGAACAUGACAAACUACCGCAGCUUCCGCCGCCUCAUCAGCAAAGUUUGAAUGUUAGCGGUGGCGGGUCAGACAGAUUGACUCGGGACUUUCUCGGAGUCGGACAAAUAGUUAGAAGCAUGAGCGGAGGAGCUACACAACAACAACAACAACAAGGGAUCGGAAACACAAAUAUUACGGCGCCGACGAGCCACCAAUCUUUCGGAGGACGUGGGAAUUUCCAGUGACGAAAGAAAUCCAAAAACAAGAAAAAUGGAGAAAAGAUAUGAAGAAAGUACAAAGGUAGACAUUGUUCGAAGGCAAACGACUCGGGAAAAACGAAGGUUGGAGGGGUGAGGUUUUCAAAACAGAAACGGUCAUCACUCGACAGAAAAAUGCAG
RNA transcript from Hibiscus syriacus, 2235 nucleotides. It is a transcript of the gene named protein indeterminate-domain 5, chloroplastic-like, with no coding region annotated. The transcript is spliced from 4 exons. The record is from RefSeq and is a predicted model, not a curated record. NCBI's taxonomy places the organism in Eukaryota, Viridiplantae, Streptophyta, Magnoliopsida, Malvales, Malvaceae.